RNAcentral lists this ribosomal RNA (253 nucleotides) under uncultured bacterium. Its description in RNAcentral is "partial 16S ribosomal RNA". It matches the Rfam family "Bacterial small subunit ribosomal RNA", at positions 524 to 776 of the family's 1533-position model. The record is from RNAcentral.
CACGUAGGGCGCAAGCGUUGUCCGGAAUUAUUGGGCGUAAAGAGCUCGUAGGCGGCUUGUCACGUCGGGUGUGAAAGCCCGGGGCUUAACCCCGGGUCUGCAUUCGAUACGGGCAGGCUAGAGUGUGGUAGGGGAGAUCGGAAUUCCUGGUGUAGCGGUGAAAUGCGCAGAUAUCAGGAGGAACACCGGUGGCGAAGGCGGAUCUCUGGGCCAUUACUGACGCUGAGGAGCGAAAGCGUGGGGAGCGAACAGG